CACCUUUUAUGUUCAGGCAAAGGAUUGAACAGAAUGGAGGCAAUGGUGCUCAUGGAGAGCAGCACACAGAUGUUUGGAGCAGACACAGCAGCAGUCAUAUUGUCCCGCACAUGUUCUCCUUCUCUUGUUCAGGGUGGUGUGGUUCAGCGUCUUCAUCAUGGUCUUCCUCAUCCUCUCUGUGCACUCAGACAAGAACUCGAUGUCCCUCUCUCAUCAUGAUCAGAUUCAGUCUGACUGCAGCAGUGAGGGACCCGAUGGAAGGAUGUGGGUUCACUGUCUGUAAACAUUCAAAAACAGAAUAGUGUUUGAAUAAAGUUUUGUUUCAU
Carassius carassius (crucian carp) is the source of this 326-nucleotide long non-coding RNA. RefSeq lists it as uncharacterized. Lineage: Eukaryota; Metazoa; Chordata; Actinopteri; Cypriniformes; Cyprinidae. The record is from RefSeq and is a predicted model, not a curated record. The transcript is spliced from 2 exons.